This 273-nucleotide ribosomal RNA is filed under the name uncultured bacterium. RNAcentral describes it as "partial 16S ribosomal RNA". It matches the Rfam family "Bacterial small subunit ribosomal RNA", at positions 523 to 796 of the family's 1533-position model. The record is from RNAcentral.
AUACGGGGGGUGCAAGCGUUGUUCGGAAUCAUUGGGCGUAAAGCGGUGUAGGCGGUGAAGUCAGUCGGAUGUGAAAGCCCAGGGCCCAACCCUGGAACUGCAUUCGAAACUGCUUCGCUAGAGUCCCGUAGGGGAAGGCGGAAUUCCCGGUGUAGAGGUGAAAUUCGUAGAUAUCGGGAGGAACACCAGUGGCGAAGGCGGCCUUCUGGACGGUGACUGACGCUCAGAUCCGAAAGCGUGGGGAGCAAACAGCAUUAGAAACCCCGGUAGUCC